Etheostoma spectabile (orangethroat darter) is the source of this 87-nucleotide long non-coding RNA. RefSeq lists it as uncharacterized. The transcript is spliced from 3 exons. NCBI's taxonomy places the organism in Eukaryota, Metazoa, Chordata, Actinopteri, Perciformes, Percidae. The record is from RefSeq and is a predicted model, not a curated record.
GUUUGAGUGUGCACGAGUCGGUUUCUUCUCCCUGCUGCUUCUAUCUUUACUUUACACUAAAGUCUUAGAGUUCUUCCCUCAUCUUCU